This is a non-coding RNA of Sturnus vulgaris (Common starling), 440 nucleotides long. The record is from RefSeq and is a predicted model, not a curated record. Lineage: Eukaryota; Metazoa; Chordata; Aves; Passeriformes; Sturnidae.
GGCGGACGAGCCUCGUCGGCCUCUGCCGAAAUGUCACUGGAAGAGUUUUGGUAGUUUCAGCAAUAGCGCGUCGCUGCUGUUUUACUGUGUUUGCCUAGAGGCGAAGUACGCUGGCGACGUGGAAUCGUAGAGACACUCCAAACCUACCUGGACGCCUUGCUGUGUCACCUGCUCCAGGUUGAACUUCAUGGCAGGAUUUUCUGGACUUCACCGCUGGGAAAAUGCUCUGGAGUGGGGCCACUGCAAGUUCCCACUCCAUGAGUGUUUUUUAUGGUUACACAGACUAAAUAAUUCUGCAAGCAGGUAGUAAUGGAACUGAAGAUACUGUCCAGUUUUCUGACUUUCUCUUCUGAAGCAUGGAACUAAAAACUCUUCUCAUUGCAAGGCAAACAAGUUAUCAAGAAAGGUAAGUCCAAAAUAGAAAUCAGUGUAUCGCUUGC